AUCCAGCUGACGAGUCCCAAAUAGGACGAAACGCGAUUUGUCCUGGAU
Schistosoma mansoni is the source of this 48-nucleotide non-coding RNA. The record is from Rfam. Lineage: Eukaryota; Metazoa; Platyhelminthes; Trematoda; Strigeidida; Schistosomatidae.